UCUAAUGGGCCUCAGAUGACUGUUUGCUUAAAUUUGGGUCUCAAAGAAUCUUUUUUUAAUUCUGCCUGUACUCUCCACCCCUCUUCUUCUAUUGCUCAGGUUGAAGCAGAAUUUGCCCGUCUUACAUCUGUUGACCUGAAAGGGUUCCUUUUUGCUGUGCUUGACCAUUAUGGAGAGGUUCGUGGAGCUGUACAAAAUCAAGAGCGGCAUAGAAAGGCUAACUAGGCUCAUAAGAUGCUUCGGAGAUGAUAGCCCUACACAAAGGAAGAGGACAGAGGACCUCAUUUUCUAAAGGAAGAUCCCUCACACACUUUCAAGACUGUGAAGCCGACAGGUAUUGAAGACACGUUUUCUAAGAGGAUGAAAGUUGGCAU
This is a long non-coding RNA of Pelmatolapia mariae (spotted tilapia), 374 nucleotides long. RefSeq lists it as uncharacterized. Lineage: Eukaryota; Metazoa; Chordata; Actinopteri; Cichliformes; Cichlidae. The transcript has 3 exons. The record is from RefSeq and is a predicted model, not a curated record.